RNAcentral lists this ribosomal RNA (860 nucleotides) under Fusarium sp. WYZ2005. RNAcentral describes it as "eukaryotic LSU rRNA". It matches the Rfam family "Eukaryotic large subunit ribosomal RNA", at positions 46 to 937 of the family's 3401-position model. Lineage: Eukaryota; Fungi; Ascomycota; Sordariomycetes; Hypocreales; Nectriaceae. The record is from RNAcentral.
CAUAGCGGAGGAAAGAACCAACAGGGAUUGCCCUAGUAACGGCGAGUGAAGCGGCAACAGCUCAAAUUUGAAAUCUGGCUCUCGGGCCCGAGUUGUAAUUUGUAGAGGAUGUUUUUGAUGCGGUGCCUUCCGAGUUCCCUGGAACGGGACGCCAUAGAGGGUGAGAGCCCCGUCUGGUUGGAUGCCAAAUCUCUGUAAAACUCCUUCAACGAGUCGAGUAGUUUGGGAAUGCUGCUCUAAAUGGGAGGUAUAUGUCUUCUAAAGCUAAAUACCGGCCAGAGACCGAUAGCGCACAAGUAGAGUGAUCGAAAGAUGAAAAGCACUUUGAAAAGAGAGUUAAAAAGUACGUGAAAUUGUUGAAAGGGAAGCGUUUGUGACCAGACUUGGACUUGGUUAAUCAUCUGGGGUUCUCCCCAGUGCACUUCUCCAGUUCAAGGCCAGCAUCAGUUUUCGCCGGGGGAUAAAGGCUUUGGGAAUGUGGCUCCCCUCGGGGAGUGUUAUAGCCCAUUGUGUAAUACCCUGGCGGGGACUGAGGUUCGCGCAUCUGCAAGGAUGCUGGCGUAAUGGUCAUCAACGACCCGUCUUGAAACACGGACCAAGGAGUCGUCUUCGUAUGCGAGUGUUCGGGUGUCAAACCCCUACGCGUAAUGAAAGUGAACGCAGGUGAGAGCUUCGGCGCAUCAUCGACCGAUCCUGAUGUUCUCGGAUGGAUUUGAGUAAGAGCAUACGGGGCCGGACCCGAAAGAAGGUGAACUAUGCCUGUAUAGGGUGAAGCCAGAGGAAACUCUGGUGGAGGCUCGCAGCGGUUCUGACGUGCAAAUCGAUCGUCAAAUAUGGGCAUGGGGGCGAAAGACUAAUCG